UACAGAGGGUGCGAGCGUUAAUCGGAAUUACUGGGCGUAAAGCGCACGUAGGCGGCUUUGUAAGUUAGAGGUGAAAGCCCGGGGCUCAACUCCGGAAUUGCCUUUAAGACUGCAUCGCUCGAAUUGUGGAGAGGUAAGUGGAAUUCCGAGUGUAGAGGUGAAAUUCGUAGAUAUUCGGAAGAACACCAGUGGCGAAGGCGACUUACUGGACACAUAUUGACGCUGAGGUGCGAAAGCGUGGGGAGCAAACAGG
This 253-nucleotide ribosomal RNA is filed under the name uncultured bacterium. RNAcentral describes it as "partial 16S ribosomal RNA". It matches the Rfam family "Bacterial small subunit ribosomal RNA", at positions 524 to 776 of the family's 1533-position model. The record is from RNAcentral.